RNAcentral lists this unclassified non-coding RNA (593 nucleotides) under Hevea brasiliensis (rubber tree). Lineage: Eukaryota; Viridiplantae; Streptophyta; Magnoliopsida; Malpighiales; Euphorbiaceae. The record is from RNAcentral.
GUCAUUUGGUGUAAGAUCAGAUGACAAAGAAGAUGGUGCAGGUCAUGUAUCAUUGGUUUCGGGUCUUCUAGAAUAAACAUGAAUAAUUGGUGGUUUUGGUGGAGCUAACUGCUUAAAAGAAGAUCUUUCAACAUGUGACUGUUCAACAGGAGGAAUACUAUUAAUUGACUGCUCAAAAGAACCAUCACCUUCAUCUGAAUCAUCCUCUGAUCGUUUAGUAGUGAUACUUGGAGAAGUGAUUUUAUAGAUUAGCCACUUUUCUUCCUCUCCCUAACACGGAGAUGUGGACAAUGAGGAAAAGAAUUGUGUUUUCUUAGAAAAGACACAUCAGUGGAAACAAAGUAUUUGUUGAGAUUUGGAGAGAACCACCGAUAACCCUUCUGAAGGCGAGAAUAUCCUAGAAACAUGCACUUCAAAGCUUUGGGAUCUAGCUUAGUAAUAUGCGGCCUUACAUCACGAACAUAGCAUGUGCUACCAAACACCCGUGGCUCCACCGGAAACAAUGGCUUGUUAGGAAAAAGGACAUUGUACGGAAUGUCACCAUAAAGAAAUAAAAGAAAUAAAGAAAUAAAAUUUUCAGAUUAAGAAUUACU